RNAcentral lists this long non-coding RNA (596 nucleotides) under Homo sapiens (human). RNAcentral describes it as "HSALNT0345143". The record is from RNAcentral. Lineage: Eukaryota; Metazoa; Chordata; Mammalia; Primates; Hominidae.
GCACCUUGGGUUCGGCGAGAAGGGACGCGCAGGAGCGCUGAACCCAGAACACGCGUGGCCGCUGCGGAAGGGCGUCCGCCCGGCGUGCGGAACGCUGAGGGGACUCUCAUCCUCUGUCUCGCCCCCUUUUUUUGACCCGGGGAUCCAGCCGCAUUAUACACGAGUGACCUUUUAAAUCUACGUCCACCCUUUACCUGCGAGAGGACUGCAGCAGGCGAGUUCCGGAAGGCUGAAUCCCCAGGUCCCAGCCCCGGACCGCGGCAACUCGCCCCUGCGGCACGCCCGGCCCGGCUGCGCCCCCACUCAGCGAUGGAGAAACAGCCCAGAUCUCCUCUUAAGCGGAAAAGAGAUUGACCUUCUAGCAGAGGCAAAGAAUGGAGUCUUCUGGGGGCAGCUGCAAAGCGUUCUCCCUAGGACAGAUGGAGCCUCCCUUUCCUCAUCUACUCUGUGGGUGGUUUCAGGGCCCACGAGUCAACAUGAGGAGUUGUGCUGGUGGUAUGUGUGUUGGAGGCUGGGCUGGCUGAUUCACAGUGACGAGGAUGUCAAUAAUAACAAGAAUGAGAAUGAUGGUACCUAAUAAAGACUUUUUUUCCCAA